CCCAGUGACUCUUUUAAACGGCCGCGGUAUCCUAACCGUGCAAAGGUAGCAUAAUCACUUGUCUCUUAAAUAGAGACUAGAAUGAAUGGCUAAAUGAGGACUAAUCUGUCUCUUACGGACAACCAAUGAAAUUAAUCUUUCAGUACAAAAGCUGAAAUAAAAACAUAAGACGAGAAGACCCUGUGGAGCUUCAAACCAAACACACCCUGCAUGCUCCUCAGGUUUUUAGUUGGGGCGACUUCGGAGCACAAUAAAACCUCCAAAAUUUUUAUCUUCAAGAUUAACAAACCAAAAACUUUAUUAGACCCAGCAAUGUAUGACAUUGUCUGAUCACUGAACCAAGUUACCCCAGGGAUAACAGCGCCAUCCCCUCCUAGAGUUCAUAUCGACAAGGGGGUUUACGACCUCGAUGUUGGAUCAGGACACCCCAAUGGUGCAGCCGCCAUUAAAGGUUCGUUUGUUCAACGAUUAAUUAGUCC
RNAcentral lists this ribosomal RNA (479 nucleotides) under Zootoca vivipara (common lizard). Its description in RNAcentral is "partial 16S ribosomal RNA". It matches the Rfam family "Bacterial large subunit ribosomal RNA", at positions 1862 to 2596 of the family's 2925-position model. Lineage: Eukaryota; Metazoa; Chordata; Lepidosauria; Squamata; Lacertidae. The record is from RNAcentral.